GAUGAACGCUGGCGGCGCGCCUAACACAUGCAAGUCGAACGGUUAAAGCACCUUUUAGGUGUGUAUAAAGUGGCGAAGAGAUGAGUAACACGUGGGCAACCUGCCCUCCGCUUGGGGAUAGGAUCGGGAAACCGAGGAUAAUAACCGAUACUUCAAUGUGGUCGCAUGACGACAUUGAGAAAGCUUUUGCGGAGAAGGAUGGGCCCGCGGACGGUUAGCUUGUUGGUGGGGUAGAGGCCUACCAAGGCAAUGAUGGGUAGCUGGGUUGAGAGACCGACCAGCCAGAUUAGGACUGAGACACGGCCCAGACUCCUACUGGAGGCAGCAGUGGGGAAUCUUGCACAAUGGGCGAAAGCCUGAUGCAGCGACGCCGCGUGCGGGACGAAGGCCUUCGGGUUGUAAACCGCGUUCAGCAGGGACGAGGCGAUAAGUGACAGUACCUGCAGAAUAAGCCCCGGCUAACUACGUG
RNAcentral lists this ribosomal RNA (469 nucleotides) under uncultured bacterium. RNAcentral describes it as "partial 16S ribosomal RNA". It matches the Rfam family "Bacterial small subunit ribosomal RNA", at positions 28 to 507 of the family's 1533-position model. The record is from RNAcentral.